RNAcentral lists this small nuclear RNA (138 nucleotides) under Moschus moschiferus (Siberian musk deer). RNAcentral's name for it is "U2 spliceosomal RNA (ENSMMSG00000018525.1)". It matches the Rfam family "U2 spliceosomal RNA". Rfam says of the family: U2 is a small nuclear RNA (snRNA) component of the spliceosome (involved in pre-mRNA splicing). Complementary binding between U2 snRNA (in an area lying towards the 5' end but 3' to hairpin I) and the branchpoint sequence (BPS) of the intron results the bulging out of an unpaired adenosine, on the BPS, which initiates a nucleophilic attack at the intronic 5' splice site, thus starting the first of two transesterification reactions that mediate splicing. Lineage: Eukaryota; Metazoa; Chordata; Mammalia; Artiodactyla; Moschidae. The record is from Rfam by way of RNAcentral.
ACUGCUUCUCGGCCUUUUGGCUAAGAUCAAGUGUAGUAUAUUGUACUUCUGUUCGUCAUAUAAUUUGUCCUUUAUUAUAUCUGAUUCAUAGGUGUUUUAUACAUAAUUUAUACUUCAAUGUAGCAAAGUUGACAUCUU